This 417-nucleotide ribosomal RNA is filed under the name uncultured bacterium. RNAcentral describes it as "bacterial SSU rRNA". It matches the Rfam family "Bacterial small subunit ribosomal RNA", at positions 945 to 1359 of the family's 1533-position model. The record is from RNAcentral.
UUUAAUUCGAUGAUACGCGAGGAACCUUACCUGGGCUAGAAUGUCACGCGACCGAGGGUGAAAGCUCUUUUCCUAGCAAUAGGCGCGUGAUAAGGUGCUGCAUGGCUGUCGUCAGCUCGUGCCGUGAGGUGUUGGGUUAAGUCCCGCAACGAGCGCAACCCCCAUCACUAGUUGCCAUCAGGUAAUGCUGGGAACUCUAGUGAAACUGCCGUCGCAAGACGUGAGGAAGGAGGGGAUGAUGUCAAGUCAUCAUGGCCUUUAUGCCCAGGGCUACACACGUGCUACAAUGGGGAGGACAAAGGGCUGCCACUUAGUGAUAAGGAGCUAAUCCCAAAAACCUCUUCUCAGUUCAGAUUGGAGUCUGCAACUCGACUCCAUGAAGCUGGAAUCGCUAGUAAUCGUAUAUCAGCAAUGAUA